Molecule: long non-coding RNA, 6980 nt
Organism: Dermacentor silvarum
Lineage: Eukaryota; Metazoa; Arthropoda; Arachnida; Ixodida; Ixodidae
Exons: 2
Source: RefSeq, a predicted model, not a curated record
AAAGUACAUUACAUUUUGAUGCAAGUUGAGUAGCUAAAGUACGAAUGCUCUAUGCGCAAUUAUUUCUUUAGCAAAGGCGCAUCUUGCAACGUCGCAAGGCAGCACGGCGCUGACAGCGCCACUUGGUUGUCUGCUUGCUAUGGUAGCGAAGUGCAGCCGUUUCGUUUGUCACCCUUUGCAAUUCGUGUUGUAGGCCCUAUUAAACAUACGCGUAGCUAACACGAAUAGCCGGAAAUUAAGCGUUACAAGCGAUGUGCCUGAGAAUCUGAUCACUCACUGUCAUCUUUAUAUUAUGGAAGCUAGCGGUGUAAUGAGCGUCACCGUGUGCUUCGAAACAGUUUCUCGGAGUUGAGCAUUACUCUCCUUGCUGUGCUUUUAAGAUCCUUAUUUAUCUGCAUCUUACAGCACUAGUGUCUUCUAUUUGUGCAUGUUGUACAUUUUUGAACUGUCUUGUUUUUGUUUUGUGUUUACUUCUUUCGUUACAGCACUGCAUAUGUUCAAAUCUCUGUGACGUUUGUAUUAAUGCGCUUCAUUUGCAAUGGCAGUAUCAUUGUGAGGCUUAAAUUUACUGUUCUCAUGCAGACUUGACUACACUUGGAAGCGCUGUUGACCGCUACUGGUGGAGACAUUGCAAGAAUGGAAAUCGGCGUGCAAGCCAAUGAGCUGUGUGACCUGCCGUUUAGCCGGAUCACACGCAAAAAGAAAGAGAAUAAUAUAUAUAUUUUUUUAUUUGUUUCGGAAUAUCCUGUGGUGCUUAAAGUACGGACACGAUCCAACCCCUCAGCACUACAAAAGAAGCACCAUGUUGAUACAGCUGGGCGACCUGUGACUGCACCGUGCCCUUACUGUUUCGCCCAUCUGAGUGUCAAAUCCCUGUCAAGACAUAAGAAGGACAUGCAUGGAAGUCAGAAGAAAGUGCACAAGUGCUCAAUGUGUGACGCAAAGUUGACACGGCUUGACAAUCUUCGGCGGCACAUGAUGCUUCGUCACCGUUACCAGAAAACACACUGACACCACUCAGAAUAUGGCUGGCAGAGACUAUUCUCACCCCAAUCAAGAAAACCUCAAUUUCAAUGUCCCUGCUUAAUGGUCAGUUAUGCCAUGCUCCUGUGCCAGUUUGAAUUGUAUGGUAACAUUUAUGCGGACAUGCAUGCAGUGAGAAAACAAAUAUUGCUGCAAGGAGACACAUUGAAAGUUCCGAGCUUUACAUCAAAGUAUAAAGCUUGAAUUGCUUUUGUUCCGCAUUUAAGUGAGAAUCUGCAGGCACAGCUUGAUUUUCACUGCCAUUUUACAGCUGUUCUUGCCUUCCUUUAUAAGAAGGGAGGGAAAUAGAGAGCAAAUCAGGGUUUCUUAUUUUUCUUAUAAUGCUAUGUCCAUGAGAUCACUACAUCCACAUGCUUGGUAGCAUCACCCUUUAUCAAAAUGAUUCUUAGGUGGUAUCAUCAAUUACAAGAACUAUAUGAAACAAAUACUUUUUUAUGCUCUCUUUAUUUUCUUGCAUUUUAUGUGGUUGGAAGCUUUCCCAGUUUGCUUGUUUUUGAUGUUAGGCAGCACCCCUUUAUUACAUUAUGCGCCAUAUUUUGCUCCCUGUGAUGUAGCUAACCUGGGUUUUUAUGUGGUGUUGUGUGAAUAACAAAAACCGUGCACUGUAAGCAAAGUGCAGUGUAGUACAUUUGUAUACAGUUAAACCUGCUUAUAACGAGCCUCCAUGUAACGAAUUCCUGGAUAUAACGAAGUUUUUCUAUUCCCCACCGUUACUCCAUAGAAGCACGUAACGAAGUGGCAGCGGGAGACCCCCUCAAAAUAACUAAUUUUCCCCACCGACAACCUAGAGAUUUCGCCCCAAAUUUUGUCAUUUUUGCGCGAGCAGCAACCGGAAGCACCUUCUCCGCCGCAACGGAAUGCGAAGUGGCGGCAGCGCGCUUGGCGCGCUCGAAUUCACGGCGACUUCCCGAUUCAAACCUGAUCCCACCGCUUGCUGCAGCUGGCCUAGCCCGCCAAGCCGGCACUCUCCUUUUCCAGUCUACCAAUUUAGUUAAACAGCGAAUGUUUACAAGUUUAUACGGCCGAUAAAACUUAGUCCUUACUUUGUAUAGCUGUCUGCUAAUUUCCUGUCGCAAUCAGUGCUUUGCCUUUCAGGGCGAAACUGGGACUUUCUUGUUCAUCGCAACUUUAGUGUAUUGGGAGUAAAUCUUGAGCUAUAGUUGUAUUUCUGUGUGAAAGCAUGAGGUGCGCGGUACUGUAAAGGAUUUUUUCCUCUCUUUUGGUCACGGAAAACGGGUGCGCGUUACAAUCGAGGGCGCGUUAGAAUCGAGUAAAUACGGCGCGCGCUUCUUUUUUGAAUUUUCGUGCCGAACCUGCAUAUAACGAAAUCCUCUUUAUAACGAAGUUUUUGGGGAAUUUGUCAAUUUCAUUAUAUCCAGGUUUAACUGUAUUAUGAUGAGCUACCUUGACCAGUGGUAAGAGAGCCUAUAUACUUGGGGUAACAUUCUGGAUAUUGUCAAAUUCCGCCGUAUUGUCAUAUUUGGUAAUGGUGGCAUUUUGAGCCAACCAGAGUGGUCGUAGCAGCCCUCUGGAGCCAAUCGGAGCUGACAAGAUGGCAAAUUUGGCAAUCUCCAGAAUAGCACUCUUGGUCUCAUCUUGUCAUUAGGAAUGACAAAUCUAUCUAGAUUCUGUUAUACAAUUUUAUGUAUAGAAAAAUCAGCUGAGUAUUUAUCUUUAGUUUAAGUGGUGUUUACAAGUGGUUUCAAUUGAAACCCAUGAAUAUUGAGAUUUUUCAAGAUCGUGAAUGCCAUAGAUUUUUUUUUUUUUUUGCAUACUCCUGAACUUCUCUUAAGUGGUAUUUCCUCCUCCAAAACAAAGUCCUUUGAAUUAAAGAAAAAAGCAGGAGAGGCCCACUGCACUACUACACAUGGUAGUAGUGCAGUGAGCCUCUUCGAUUAUCCAUUCCUGACAGUCCCGGACUGCCCGAGACCGUGCUUUCAGCCUAUGAGCGUUGUGUAUGCAGUCUUUCGGACAGUCUGUGACUGUCAGAGACGGAUAAUCGAAGAGGCCCAGUGACUGCUUCAAAGAUUUUCACUUGAUCCAAAUGACUGAAUGACUUGCAUCUGCUGAACAUGCAAGCAACAACCAAUGGAUGCCACAGUAUGUGGUGUGAUCAUAACACGCAUCAGUGCGCGUGGCUCGGUGACUUAAUUAUUACAGAAAACUCAUCUUUUUGACCAGAGGUGAAACAAAUCAGAUUAUUUUUUUACAUCACUAGAUAGAGCUCCAUUUGCAAAGCUUUGGAAGGUAGUGAAAGUACUGCUUAUCCUCAGCCAUGACCAACCAUGCAUAGUGAGAGAAAGAUCAUUGUGAACCAUUGCAUGUUUAGUAAAUCUCACAAGGACAUUUUGUACACAUUGAUGUGCAUUGUAUUUGGUAAGGUAACUAGUAUGCUCAGCAUGCACAUAACAAAGGAUCCAAGGAUUGCCCUGUCAUCUGCCAAGUGUCAUCUGCCAAUGCAACUAUACGUGCAAGUAAAGAUGAAGGGGCAGCAUGAAGAUAUAGACAGUCAGAAAAAUGCUGCAUUAGCUGGACAUCAAAAAACAAAAGUAGCGUGUUGAAUUGGGCUGGUUGGUACGUUUCGGAACUUGAAGGUAACAAUGCCAAACAGGAAAACAUGAAACUGGAAUUAAAUGGUCGCAGGUGCGAUGCUUAAGUGGAAGUAUCUUGAUGAUAAUGCACAAUGUCAAAUUACAGAAAGCAAGAGUAAAUUGUUUCCAAGUGUCAACCAGGAAGUAAAAGAAAAUUAUAAUUGGCACCUUAAACCUAAUGCAAGUUAUGGCGACUUCUGUUUACACUGUAGAUAAAUGAUACCAAUAAGCAUCGGUAAUUUAGUUUUCACUAUGUAUAAAAAUUGCUACCUGCAAGACUGUCCUGGAUCUUUAAAAAAAAUCUUACCCCAGAUAUACCACAUUUUUGUGCCUGUUACCUGUACAAAAAUGAAAGAAGUUUGAAUACAAAAUUUGGGUGUGGGCUAAAUGUGAACGUUGCCUUAUGGUACAGUUUCACGGGAUUGAAGUCACUGCUGCAAAGCUUGUGGUGCUGCACCAUACUUCGGCAGAGACCAUCAGUGAGAGACCAUUGACUGAACAUACAAAAUCGUUUCUAGAGCUCUACUCUGUGCCGAUAAUUGUGUGAGGCUGUUAGUAUAUAAAUUGCAGUAUGCAGUUCUUGCAAACGGUGAUAGGCGUUUUCUUCUUUUUUUUUUAAGAUAGUAAGGUGCUGUUGAGAUGUCAGGUUAUACAUGUGAAAAUGAGGUACUUUAUUUAUUUCUCAGAAACCUGUGUAGGUCUUGUGCGCUAUAUAUAUUAAUGAACUGGGUAAUUACAGCAUUCUGCACUGGCUGUAACAAGUUCAUUGUCAACUGCCAUAAUGCACUGCAUGUACAAAAUACUUUUGACUCUUAGCACCGUACUCUUCGUCAUACUUAUAUUGAAGCACCUUGUCUUUACCAUUAAACAUCACUGUUGAGUGGCUCCUUUUAAAUAAAAAUGAGAUACCAGAGCCAUUAUAACACUAUUUUCUCUUCAUACAAAGUGAACUGAUGGAGUGCAACCAUUUAACUUUAGGAUUAUGGUCCAACAAAUUAACAAAGUUUAUAUCGCAAUAACCCCUUGCGAUCAUGUGCAUUGACCCACUUUGCAGUCAUUCCGGCCAUAAACUAUUUCGUGUAUCUGUGGAAGCCAUAGAGAAACAGCACUCUUCUGAACAAAUGCAUAGUAAUAAUUUAUUUCAGAAAAUUUCCUUGAUUUCUAAUGCAUUUGUACAGUGUAGUCUCCAGCUAGCAUCACAUUGUGGGUUAUCACCACAGGAAACAUUUUCUCUAGGGUCCUCAUCGUCACUUUAUUUUUUAGUGCUCUCAUCCAAGGAUGUUUGCUGGUCAUCUGAAAGCCGAAUAUAUUCCUCCUCGGCACUAAAAGAAUCUUCAGAUUUGCUAAGCUUAUGCGAGUUCUCUUCAUAAAACAUACAUAGAAAAAGCUGUCCAUCCUCACAGUGCUUCGCAAAAAACAAAAUUGUCCGAAUUCCGUCAAGUAUGCUGCUAAACAAGUCCUGCCCCCAUGCAUGGAUGAUGGAAACUGCAAUUGUCAAUAGUUGAAAGAGUUCCCCAAAAGGUCCCACAGCAAAUACAAAGAAAAAAACACCUGUGCAUGCAAGCAGUUGCACAUCCGGCACCUCCCGACAUCUGACCGGAACUGAUAUUUUAUCACAUUGGGAAGGCCCCAACACAUGACCGCAAAGGGUUAAAUGUUCCCACUGUAGUCAUAAGCACACAAUAUAGAUAUAUCCACAAGCUUUGCCCAUUUGCCUCACAAACCAUUGUUCAAUGAAGCCUAUACUUCUUUUACUAGAUGCUUGGUGUUUUGCUUUCAUAUUGCAGCCAUGCUGUAAUGAGGUGCUUGCAGGCACUGAGAGGUAGUGCUUGCUGUAGUUUUUCAUUCACGCCAGUUGUGAGUUGGAGAAUUCAAACACGCUCAUUUCCCACAACCAUGGGAGUUCUGUCGAUUGUCACCUCACCUGUGGGCAAAAACAGAAACUGCAAACCACCAAAUCCAUACAACUUCUCUAUACUUAACCAGGCACUGCUAAGUAAAAAAAAAUAUAAAAUAAUUUAGAAAUGCACAGUAAUCAAAACAAACGAUUCUAUUUAUCACUUUUUCAGUUAAGGCUGCUAUUUCAAGUAAUCUUAGGUGACGAGCAGCCACAAUGCUGUUUUCUCUGUUACUAACAGUUCGAAGUAGUGUUUUGCAACUGACAUUGUUAAAGAAUCUUGUUGCGUGCAGCUGACAUUGUCUCAGGAUUCAGCAUUCUGUCCAAGGCCUUGGUGCAGACAUUUUAUUAUUUAUUUAAAAUGCCUAACAGAGCCCAAGUGAGACAUAGAGUAAAAGAAGCAAUUCACUGCCAGGAUCAUUUCCUUGUCAGAAAAUUUAAAUACUUGUUCUAUGAUACAAGUCAACUUUGGUUAAGUACUACAUAUUCGGGAAAACCAGCUUCUGAGCACAGGUACCCACAGCCAUCCCUAUUGAGAAAAAUCUUCUCAGCUUAUGUAGCAGGCAUCUAGCAAAAUAGGCACAUGUAAAACAAUUAUCUAUAUAAUUGGUCACUUUAUUGUGUUCAAUGUGCAUUUACUAUGGAAGCUAAAAAAUUAAUUUACACAUGCAUUAGUUGGGGCUAGAGAGAGAUCAGAGCAAAGGAGCUUAAUUGUAGGGCCAGAGCCAGGCAAUUGGUCAGAGUGACACUCCAGCCCCGAUGGAGCGUCGAAUGUGACCCUCAAAAAUGCUAAAAGUGCGAACAGGCAUUAGCAUUGAAAAAGGCAUCGCUGCAAAAUAGUGACUCAGGUCUCUUAACCAGCCCAGUUGCAAGGGUAGCCAGUGUUGUGUCUCCAUUGUCAAACAGUAUCCUAGCAAUUGUUUCCUCCUUCCAGCUCGACCUUCUUCCUCAGCUUUAAAAUGUUUCCACCAUGCCACAUGUAUUGAAUGUAUAACAGUACAAGACAGCAUAUUAAGUUCACCUUUCCUUUGGUAAGCAAGACUUUUUGGCACACUGUUUGUCAAGAUUAGUGUCCUAUCAUUGUCCUCAGAUCAGCAAUAGCACUGUGUGACUGCUCUACAUAAGCAAAAGAUAGGUCAUAUACAAUGUAUAAAAGAUGCACUUUGCUGAUAUUAGGAGUAAUAAUUUAAAUAUUGUUAAUCACGUCAUUGCGACAACACCUGAUGGACUCGCCAUGGCAAAGAUUUAUUAUGAAAAAUACUUUCAAAUGCAGCCAAUGUAAUGGACACCAAACAAAGAUUGACAUGACUUACAAAUUUACAUAUGGUGAACAUAGAAUCGGAUAUAUACAACAUGCUCUGUAUAUGUGGUGAAAGCCUGCCAUUGUACAAACCACCAUAACUGUGCAGUUUUGUACAAUAACAUUGUUUAUUAAAUGGCUUAUAUCA